This 253-nucleotide ribosomal RNA is filed under the name uncultured bacterium. RNAcentral describes it as "partial 16S ribosomal RNA". It matches the Rfam family "Bacterial small subunit ribosomal RNA", at positions 524 to 776 of the family's 1533-position model. The record is from RNAcentral.
UACGAAGGGGGCUAGCGUUGUUCGGAAUUACUGGGCGUAAAGCGCACGUAGGCGGAUACUUAAGUUAGGGGUGAAAUCCCGAGGCUCAACCUCGGAACUGCCUUUAAUACUGGGUAUCUCGAGUUCGAGAGAGGUGAGUGGAAUUCCGAGUGUAGAGGUGAAAUUCGUAGAUAUUCGGAGGAACACCAGUGGCGAAGGCGGCUCACUGGCUCGAUACUGACGCUGAGGUGCGAAAGCGUGGGGAGCAAACAGG